AAGCAAAGCAGAAUCUAAUUCGCCUAUCAACCAGAUCUCCCCUUAAUUCUUUACUUUCCAUUUCUUCACACCCAUCGUUCUUCGAUUUCCGAUCAUCGCUUCUCAGAAAUUCGGAGGUCGGUUCGAAUCGCACAUAAUCCACCAUGUCCAUGUUCAAUAAGCUUUUUGGUAAACCUAAACAGGAGUCUAAUGCCCUGGCCACGCUUGAUAAAUUAAACGAGACACUUGAAAUGCUGGAGAAGAAGGAGAAAGUACUUUUGAAAAAAGCUGCCACAGAGGUUGAGAAGGCUAAAGAUUAUACCAGAGCAAAGAACAAGCGGGCUGCUAUACAAUGUUUGAAGAGGAAGAGGCUA
RNAcentral lists this unclassified non-coding RNA (353 nucleotides) under Hevea brasiliensis (rubber tree). The record is from RNAcentral. Lineage: Eukaryota; Viridiplantae; Streptophyta; Magnoliopsida; Malpighiales; Euphorbiaceae.